This 253-nucleotide ribosomal RNA is filed under the name uncultured bacterium. RNAcentral describes it as "partial 16S ribosomal RNA". It matches the Rfam family "Bacterial small subunit ribosomal RNA", at positions 524 to 776 of the family's 1533-position model. The record is from RNAcentral.
UACAGAGGGUGCGAGCGUUAAUCGGAUUUACUGGGCGUAAAGGGCGCGUAGGCGGUUAUAUGAGUGUGAUGUGAAAGCCCCGGGCUUAACCUGGGAAGUGCAUCGCAAACGAUAUAACUGGAGUAUAUGAGAGGGUGGCGGAAUUUCCGGUGUAGCGGUGAAAUGCGUAGAGAUCGGAAGGAACGUCAAUGGCGAAGGCAGCCACCUGGCAUAAUACUGACGCUGAGGCGCGAAAGCGUGGGGAGCGAACAGG